This 763-nucleotide unclassified non-coding RNA is filed under the name Hevea brasiliensis (rubber tree). Lineage: Eukaryota; Viridiplantae; Streptophyta; Magnoliopsida; Malpighiales; Euphorbiaceae. The record is from RNAcentral.
GAUGGAUAUUCAGAUAUCAUAAUCGACUCUUUUCUGGUAUGUUCCCCGGCUGAAGGAAGGCGUUGCCACAAUUCCUCAGUAAUAAAUGGCAUAAAUGGAUGAAGCAAUCGCAGGCCAUUGUCCAAACACACCCAAAGACAAUCUUUUGCAGAAUUCUUUGCAGAGGCAAAUGAUGGAUCAUCACCAGUAAAGUAAGGCUUGAUUGAUUCAAUGAAAACAUCACAAAACUGAUAUUGCCACCAGGAAUAGACUGUGGUGGCAGCAUCUGAAAACUCAUAUGAAUCCAUUGCUGAAACAGUUUUGGAUAUGGCUUUGUUAAGUGCCGAGAGUAUCCAUUUGCAGCUAAAAGGCAUAGUUUCCACAAGUAAAGUCGAUGGAGGGGCAUAAUCAAUUUCCAGUUUGCUCAUAGCAAAUCGAACAGCAUUCCACAAUUUGUUACACCAUUGACGAUAUCCAACUACUCUUUGAAUGUCCAAAUUUAUUUUAUCAGACUGAGCAGUGUAAGAUACAAGAGCGAAUCGGAGAGCAUCUGCACCACAUUGAGAGAUACCAUUGGGAAAGUCUUUCUUCUGUCCAGCUUUUGCAAUAACCAGCUCACUUUGAUCCAAAUUACCCUCCUCUAGUCUUUUGUGAAGGCCUUCAAGUGUUAUCCCAUUUAUUACUUCAAGAGGGUCAAUAACAUUUCCCAAAGACUUUGACAUCUUACGGCCAUGAGCAUCACGAAUCAUUGGAUGCAAAUAAACCUUCCUAAAUGGAACAGCAC